This 111-nucleotide ribosomal RNA is filed under the name Caerostris darwini. Lineage: Eukaryota; Metazoa; Arthropoda; Arachnida; Araneae; Araneidae. The record is from RNAcentral.
AACGGCCGUACCAUGCUGAAUAUACCGGUUCUCGUUAGAUCACCGAAGUCAAGCAUCAUUGGGCGCGGUCAGUACUUGGGUGGGUGACCACCUGGGAACACUGCUUGCCGU